GACGUAGGAGGCGAGCGUUGUCCGGAAUCAUUGGGCGUAAAGAGCGCGCAGGCGGCUUGGUAAGUCGGAUGUGAAAUCCCGAGGCUCAACCUCGGGUCUGCAUCCGAUACUGCCCGGCUAGAGGUAGGUAGGGGAGAUCGGAAUUCCUGGUGUAGCGGUGAAAUGCGCAGAUAUCCGGAGGAACACCGGUGGCGAAGGCGGCUUCCUGGACCGACACUGACGCUGAGGCGCGAAAGCUAGGGGAGCAAACGGG
This 253-nucleotide ribosomal RNA is filed under the name uncultured bacterium. RNAcentral describes it as "partial 16S ribosomal RNA". It matches the Rfam family "Bacterial small subunit ribosomal RNA", at positions 524 to 776 of the family's 1533-position model. The record is from RNAcentral.